CCUACGGGUGGCUGCAGUGGGGAAUAUUGGACAAUGGGGGGAACCCUGAUCCAGCCAUGCCGCGUGUGUGAAGAAGGCCCUCGGGUUGUAAAGCACUUUCAGUGAGGAAGAACGCCUGGUGGUUAAUACCCAUCAGGAAAGACAUCACUCACAGAAGAAGCACCGGCUAACUCCGUGCCAGCAGCCGCGGUAAUACGGAGGGUGCGAGCGUUAAUCGGAAUUACUGGGCGUAAAGCGCGCGUAGGUGGCUUGAUAAGCCGGUUGUGAAAGCCCCGGGCGCAACCUGGGAACGGCAUCCGGAACUGUCAAGCUAGAGUGCAGGAGAGGAAUGUGGAAUUCCCGGUGUAGCGGUGAAAUGCGUAGGGAUCGGGAGGAAUACCCGUGGCGAAGGCGGCAUUCUGGACUGACACUGCCACUGAGGUGCGAAAGCGUGGGUAGAAAACAGGAUUAGCUACCCCAGUAGUC
This 465-nucleotide ribosomal RNA is filed under the name Vreelandella stevensii. Its description in RNAcentral is "partial 16S ribosomal RNA". It matches the Rfam family "Bacterial small subunit ribosomal RNA", at positions 338 to 795 of the family's 1533-position model. The record is from RNAcentral. Lineage: Bacteria; Pseudomonadati; Pseudomonadota; Gammaproteobacteria; Oceanospirillales; Halomonadaceae.